AUUUAUUUAUUUUACCUCAUUUUGAGUUUAAAGGGUAAAAUAGUCAUUUUGCUCAAAUUCUGUUAAGUUCUUAACGGUAGUAAAUAGAAAGGUCGACGCCAGAACUCUUUUGUCAACGUAGGGCAUACGAGUGAUAUAAGCGAAAAGUGUUGUAGCACGUUUGAUAUACUGGUGUCAUUUAAAGGUAUAUGAUUGAUAAUUUUCCUUUUUAAAUUUAUAAAUUUAAAAAAUGACUCUCAAAACACAAUCCCCAUACAUCCAAUUGGAUUCCUCAUAAUGAGUAUCCAAUGAAUGCCGAGACAAAACUCUGUCAAGAACUCACGUAAAUGCUCUAGCUACAACUCACAAAGUUGGGGAUGCCUUAGCUAUCAAACCGAGAACUCUAUUCACAAUGUAAUUAUAAGAUGCAAGCCUUUCAAAAUCAACAAUUUCGGCAUAAAAUCCUCCGAGAUGGCCGCCAUUUCUAUGUGCAAAUCUUGACAAAUGAGGCGUGAAGCCAUCAUUCCAUAAUGCCAAAGGCCCUAUGUGAAUCCAUUGUUAAUUUGCAACCACCUCACUGCAUGGAUGGUGGCUUUUGUACUUGCAUGCAUUAGAGCCGUGUAAAGUUUGUCAACCAAAUUAUCAAUGUGUAUUAAAAAAAAUUUCCAUGGCUUCCAAUUUCAACAUUCACCACGUAUAAAUGCAUUCCCACCGCUUAGUUAAGUAUUUUUUCCAACAAAACUAAGUAAAUAUAGACAACCGAAAACAAAGUUACUAGAGUUUUAUACUGCGUUUACUAAACUAAAAUCAGAAUGGACAGAAAUGGGAAUGAGCUGGAAUGAGAAUAGGGAAUGAGAAUAAAAAUAAGUUGUCUUGAAUCGGAAUCGGAAUGAGUUAGAUUGUAACAAAUUACUAAAAAGUACUUAAU
This 907-nucleotide long non-coding RNA is filed under the name Citrus x clementina. RNAcentral describes it as "Citrus clementina (C. clementina) long non-coding RNA (CCLE_LNC002452)". The record is from RNAcentral. Lineage: Eukaryota; Viridiplantae; Streptophyta; Magnoliopsida; Sapindales; Rutaceae.